RNAcentral lists this transfer RNA (63 nucleotides) under Ptygomastax nihilsulcus. RNAcentral describes it as "tRNA-Tyr". It matches the Rfam family "tRNA". From Rfam's summary of the family: Transfer RNA (tRNA) molecules are approximately 80 nucleotides in length. The record is from RNAcentral. Lineage: Eukaryota; Metazoa; Arthropoda; Insecta; Orthoptera; Eumastacidae.
GGUAAAAUGGCUGAUUAAGGUGAUGGAUUGUAAAUCUAUUUAUGAGUGUAAACUCUUUUACCA